GAUGAACGCUAGCGGCAGGCCUAACACAUGCAAGUCGAGGGGGAGGUUACUUUCGGGUAACUGAGACCGGCGUACGGGUGCGUAACGCGUAUACAAUCUGCCUUUCACUGGGGGAUAGCCCGAAGAAAUUUGGAUUAAUACCCCAUAGUAUAGUAAUACGGCAUCGUGAUGCUCUUAAAGCUUAGGUGGUGAAAGAUGAGUAUGCGUUCUAUUAGCUAGUUGGAGAGGUAACGGCUCCCCAAGGCGAUGAUAGAUAGGGGUUCUGAGAGGGAUGUCCCCCACAACGGUACUGAGAUACGGACCAGACUCCUACGGGAGGCAGCAGUGAGGAAUAUUGGACAAUGGUCGGAAGACUGAUCCAGCCAUGCCGCGUGCAGGAGGAAGGGCUUAUGGAUUGUAAACUGCUUUUGUAAGGGAAGAAUAAGGGCUACGCGUAGUUUGAUGACGGUACCUUACGAAUAAGCAUCGGCUAACUCCGUG
RNAcentral lists this ribosomal RNA (480 nucleotides) under uncultured bacterium. RNAcentral's name for it is "partial 16S ribosomal RNA". It matches the Rfam family "Bacterial small subunit ribosomal RNA", at positions 28 to 507 of the family's 1533-position model. The record is from RNAcentral.